GACGAACGCUGGCGGCGUGCUUAACACAUGCAAGUCGAGCGGUAAGGCCCUUUCGGGGGUACACGAGCGGCGAACGGGUGAGUAACACGUGGGUGACCUGCCCUCAGCUCUGGGAUAAGCCUGGGAAACCGGGUCUAAUACCGGAUAUGACUCCAUGACGCAUGUUGUGGGGUGGAAAGCCUUGUGCGGCUGAGGAUGGGCCCGCGGCCUAUCAGCUUGUUGGUGGGGUGAUGGCCUACCAAGGCGACGACGGGUAGCCGGCCUGAGAGGGCGACCGGCCACACUGGGACUGAGACACGGCCCAGACUCCUACGGGAGGCAGCAGUGGGGAAUCUUGCGCAAUGGGGGAAAGCCUGACGCAGCGACGCCGCGUGAGGGAUGACGGCCUGGUGUAAC
RNAcentral lists this ribosomal RNA (396 nucleotides) under uncultured bacterium. RNAcentral describes it as "bacterial SSU rRNA". It matches the Rfam family "Bacterial small subunit ribosomal RNA", at positions 28 to 429 of the family's 1533-position model. The record is from RNAcentral.